This 385-nucleotide ribosomal RNA is filed under the name Salmonella enterica subsp. enterica serovar Javiana. Its description in RNAcentral is "partial 23S ribosomal RNA". It matches the Rfam family "Bacterial large subunit ribosomal RNA", at positions 1350 to 1735 of the family's 2925-position model. Lineage: Bacteria; Pseudomonadati; Pseudomonadota; Gammaproteobacteria; Enterobacterales; Enterobacteriaceae. The record is from RNAcentral.
GGUUCCUGUCCAACGUUAAUCGGGGCAGGGUGAGUCGACCCCUAAGGCGAGGCCGAAAGGCGUAGUCGAUGGGAAACGGGUUAAUAUUCCCGUACUUGGUGUUACUGCGAAGGGGGGACGGAGAAGGCUAUGUUGGCCGGGCGACGGUUGUCCCGGUUUAAGCGUGUAGGUGUGUGUUCCAGGUAAAUCCGGUUCACUUUAACACUGAGGCGUGAUGACGAGGCACUACGGUGCUGAAGCAACAAAUGCCCUGCUUCCAGGAAAAGCCUCUAAGCAUCAGGUAACAUCAAAUCGUACCCCAAACCGACACAGGUGGUCAGGUAGAGAAUACCAAGGCGCUUGAGAGAACUCGGGUGAAGGAACUAGGCAAAAUGGUGCCGUAACU